This 528-nucleotide ribosomal RNA is filed under the name uncultured bacterium. RNAcentral's name for it is "bacterial SSU rRNA". It matches the Rfam family "Bacterial small subunit ribosomal RNA", at positions 777 to 1304 of the family's 1533-position model. The record is from RNAcentral.
AAUAGAUACCCUGGUAGUCCACGCCGUAAACGAUGAGUGCUAAGUGUUAGGGGUUUCCGCCCCUUAGUGCUGCAGCUAACGCAUUAAGCACUCCGCCUGGGGAGUACGGUCGCAAGACUGAAACUCAAAGGAAUUGACGGGGGCCCGCACAAGCGGUGGAGCAUGUGGUUUAAUUCGAAGCAACGCGAAGAACCUUACCAGGUCUUGACAUCCCACUGACCGCUAUGGAGACAUAGUUUUCCCUUCGGGGACAGUGGUGACAGGUGGUGCAUGAUUGUCGUCAGCUCGUGUCGUGAGAUGUUGGGUUAAGUCCCGCAACGAGCGCAACCCUUGAUCUUAGUUGCCAUCAUUUAGUUGGGCACUCUAAGGUGACUGCCGGUGACAAACCGGAGGAAGGUGGGGAUGACGUCAAAUCAUCAUGCCCCUUAUGACCUGGGCUACACACGUGCUACAAUGGACGGUACAAACGGUUGCCAACCCGCGAGGGGGAGCUAAUCCGAUAAAACUGUUCUCAGUUCGGAUUGUAGG